GAUGAACGCUGGCGGCGUGCCUAAUACAUGCAAGUCGAGCGAACGGACGAGAAGCUUGCUUCUCUGAUGUUAGCGGCGGACGGGUGAGUAACACGUGGAUAACCUACCUAUAAGACUGGGAUAACUUCGGGAAACCGGAGCUAAUACCGGAUAAUAUUUUGAACCGCAUGGUUCAAAAGUGAAAGACGGUCUUGCUGUCACUUAUAGAUGGAUCCGCGCUGCAUUAGCUAGUUGGUAAGGUAACGACUUACCAAGGCAACGAUGCAUAGCCGACCUGAGAGGGUGAUCGGCCACACUGGAACUGAGACACGGUCCAGACUCCUACGGGAGGCAGCAGUAGGGAAUCUUCCGCAAUGGGCGAAAGCCUGACGGAGCAACGCCGCGUGAGUGAUGAAGGUCUUCGGAUCGUAAAACUCUGUUAUUAGGGAAGAACAUAUGUGUAAGUAACUGUGCACAUCUUGACGGUACCUAAUCAGAAAGCCACGGCUAACUACGUG
RNAcentral lists this ribosomal RNA (497 nucleotides) under uncultured bacterium. RNAcentral's name for it is "partial 16S ribosomal RNA". It matches the Rfam family "Bacterial small subunit ribosomal RNA", at positions 28 to 507 of the family's 1533-position model. The record is from RNAcentral.